This 460-nucleotide ribosomal RNA is filed under the name uncultured bacterium. RNAcentral describes it as "partial 16S ribosomal RNA". It matches the Rfam family "Bacterial small subunit ribosomal RNA", at positions 338 to 795 of the family's 1533-position model. The record is from RNAcentral.
CCUACGGGUGGCAGCAGUGAGGAAUAUUGGUCAAUGGGCGUAAGCCUGAACCAGCGAAGUCGCGUGAGGGAUGAAGGUUCUAUGGAUCGUAAACCUCUUUUAUAAGGGAAUAAAGUGUGGGACGUGUCCUAUUUGGGAUGUACCUUAUGAAUAAGGAUCGGCUAACUCCGGUACAGCAGCCGCGGUAAUACGGAGGAUCCGAGCGUUUUCCGGAUGUAUGGGGUUUAAAGGGUGAGUAGGCGGCCUUGUAAGUGAGGGGUGAAAGUCUGUGGCUCAACCCUAGAAUUGCCGUUGAAACUGGGGGACUUGAGUAUGUUUGAGGCAGGCGGAAUGCGUGGUGUAGCGGUGAAAUGCUUAGAUAUCGCGCAGAACCCCGAUUGCGAAGGCGGCCUCCCAAGCCAUGACUGACGCUGAUGCACGAAAGCGUGGGGAUCAAACAGGAUUAGAUACCCGAGUAGUC